This 93-nucleotide transfer RNA is filed under the name mine drainage metagenome. Its description in RNAcentral is "tRNA-Ala". The record is from RNAcentral.
GCCGCGGUGGCCGACGCGUUCUGCGCGUCCCGGCUCGACGGGGCCGGAGCGCGUCAAUACGGCACCUUGCCGUGCGGUGUCGACGCCGCGGCG